UACGUAGGGGGCAAGCGUUGUCCGGAUUUACUGGGCGUAAAGCGCACGUAGGCGGAUUGUUAAGUGAGGGGUGAAAUCCCAGGGCUCAACCCUGGAACUGCCUUUCAUACUGGCAAUCUUGAGUCCGGAAGAGGUGAGUGGAACUCCUAGUGUAGAGGUGGAAUUCGUAAAUAUUAGGAAGAACACCAGUGGCGAAGGCGGCUCACUGGUCCGGUACUGACGCUGAGGUGCGAAAGCGUGGGGAGCAAACAGG
This 253-nucleotide ribosomal RNA is filed under the name uncultured bacterium. RNAcentral's name for it is "partial 16S ribosomal RNA". It matches the Rfam family "Bacterial small subunit ribosomal RNA", at positions 524 to 776 of the family's 1533-position model. The record is from RNAcentral.